This 339-nucleotide ribosomal RNA is filed under the name Metacatharsius exiguiformis. RNAcentral describes it as "partial 16S ribosomal RNA". The record is from RNAcentral. Lineage: Eukaryota; Metazoa; Arthropoda; Insecta; Coleoptera; Scarabaeidae.
AAAGUCUGACCUGCCCUAUGAAUAGUAUUUAAAUGGCUGCGAUACUCUGAUCGUGCAAAGGUAGCAUAAUAAUUAGUUUUUUAAUUGGGAACUGGAAUGAAAGGUCGAACGAGAAAAAAACUGUCUCAAUCUAAAUUUAAUUAGAAUUUUAUUUUUAAGUAAAAAAGCUUAAAUAAUUUUAAAAGACGAGAAGACCCUAUAGAGUUUUAUAUAAAUAUAAAUAUUUAGAAGUUGAAGAAUUAUAGAUUUAAAUAUUUAUAUUUAUAUUUGGUUGGGGUGAUUAAAAAAUUUAAUGAACUUUUUUUAUAUUAAACCAUUGAUUUAUGAAUAAGUGAUCCA